UCAACUCAUAUGGGACUACCCCCUGAAUUUAAGCAUAUUAAUUAGGGGAGGAAAAGAAACUAACCAGGAUUUUCUUAGUAGCGGCGAGCGAAAAGAAAUCAGUUCAGCACUAAGUCACUUUGUCUAUAUGGCAAAUGUGAGAUGCAGUGUAUGGAGCGUCAAUAUUCUAGUAUGAGAAAUUAACGAUUUAAGUCCUUCUUAAAUGAGGCCAUUUACCCAUAGAGGGUGCCAGGCCCGUAUAACGUUAAUGAUUACUAGAUGAUGUUUCCAAAGAGUCGUGUUGCUUGAUAGUGCAGCACUAAGUGGGUGGUAAACUCCAUCUAAAACUAAAUA
RNAcentral lists this ribosomal RNA (333 nucleotides) under Drosophila guanche. Its description in RNAcentral is "LSU_rRNA_bacteria". It matches the Rfam family "Eukaryotic large subunit ribosomal RNA", at positions 1 to 322 of the family's 3401-position model. The record is from RNAcentral. Lineage: Eukaryota; Metazoa; Arthropoda; Insecta; Diptera; Drosophilidae.